CGCUUCUGCCCGCAGCAACCCGUUCCCACGAGCGCUGCCGUGGGGGUUGCACGCGCGUCCCGGCUGCCGCCACCCAGCUGGAGUUUCAGGAUGCUCUACACCCAGGACUUUUUGAAGCUGCCUUUUCAACAGUGACAGUCAUGAAAAUGUGACCAUCACUGCAUUAGCAGAAAACCGAAAACACUGAUGAACAAUCCUGAAAAAAAAUCCCCAUUAUGGUGGAGCUUACCUUCUAGUGAAAAGGAUUGCAGGGUUCUUGUCUCACGGAGUCGAAGAAUGAAU
Long non-coding RNA from Leptonychotes weddellii (Weddell seal), 282 nucleotides. RefSeq lists it as uncharacterized. The record is from RefSeq and is a predicted model, not a curated record. Lineage: Eukaryota; Metazoa; Chordata; Mammalia; Carnivora; Phocidae.